This is a long non-coding RNA of Lineus longissimus, 258 nucleotides long. RefSeq lists it as uncharacterized. The transcript has 3 exons. NCBI's taxonomy places the organism in Eukaryota, Metazoa, Nemertea, Pilidiophora, Heteronemertea, Lineidae. The record is from RefSeq and is a predicted model, not a curated record.
ACAGUUUGCUUUUCACCAGUAUACUGAAGAUUCGGACACUACUCGUACAUGGGAGUCUACCAAGCUGAAAACUGACUACAUAUAGAUAUGUACUUGGAGUGACGACGUCCAUCAUGGGGAUUGCUGUUGAAUGCCUAGGCCAUCAUUGUGGAUUUCUUUUCAAGCACUCACAAAGUCAUCCUAUCAUACUGGACCUUGUUAUUUUAUGCUUGAUUGAUGGGUUUGCUGAGAUAGAACUCCUGAUAUCGUCAUUGCGCG